RNAcentral lists this ribosomal RNA (481 nucleotides) under uncultured bacterium. RNAcentral describes it as "bacterial SSU rRNA". It matches the Rfam family "Bacterial small subunit ribosomal RNA", at positions 29 to 506 of the family's 1533-position model. The record is from RNAcentral.
UUGAACGCUGGCGGAAUGCUUUACACAUGCAAGUCGAGCGGCAGCGCGGGGCAACCUGGCGGCGAGCGGCGAACGGGUGAGUAAUGCAUCGGAACAUGUCCAUGUCGUGGGGGAUAGCCCGGCGAAAGCCGGAUUAAUACCGCAUACGCCCGAGAGGGGAAAGUGGGGGACCGCAAGGCCUCACGCGAUUGGGUUGGCCGAUGUCCGAUUAGCUAGUUGGCGGGGUAAUGGCCCACCAAGGCGAUGAUCGGUAGCUGGUCUGAGAGGAUGAUCAGCCACACUGGGACUGAGACACGGCCCAGACUCCUACGGGAGGCAGCAGUGGGGAAUUUUGGACAAUGGGGGCAACCCUGAUCCAGCCAUUCCGCGUGAGUGAAGAAGGCCUUCGGGUUGUAAAGCUCUUUUGUCCGGAACGAAACGGUUAGCGUGAAUAUCGCUGACUACUGACGGUACCGGAAGAAUAAGCACCGGCUAACUACGU